CGGACACGUAACGCAACUUACCCUGAACUGGGGGAUAGCCCACCGAAAGGUGGAUUAAUACCUCGUAACAUCUUGUAGUGGCAUCACUGUAAGAUUAUAGCUCCGGCGGUUCAGGAUGGGCGUGCGGCCCAUUAGGUAGUUGGUAGAGGUAACGGCUCACCAAGCCUGCGAUGGGUAACUGGUGUGAGAGCACGACCAGUCACACGGGCACUGAGACACGGGCCCG
RNAcentral lists this ribosomal RNA (226 nucleotides) under uncultured bacterium. RNAcentral describes it as "partial 16S ribosomal RNA". It matches the Rfam family "Bacterial small subunit ribosomal RNA", at positions 110 to 334 of the family's 1533-position model. The record is from RNAcentral.